This 590-nucleotide ribosomal RNA is filed under the name Argentinomyia sp. COL 8. RNAcentral's name for it is "partial large subunit ribosomal RNA". The stretch from base 373 to 590 matches the Rfam family "Eukaryotic large subunit ribosomal RNA", at positions 665 to 825 of the family's 3401-position model. Lineage: Eukaryota; Metazoa; Arthropoda; Insecta; Diptera; Syrphidae. The record is from RNAcentral.
AGGUUAAGCCCGAUGAACCUGAAUAUCCGUUAUGGAAAAUUCAUCAUUAAUACUAUGAUAUUUAUAAUAUCAUAGAAAUAGUGUGCAAUUUUUCCAUAUAAGGACAUUGUAAUCUGUUAUUGUAAUAAAUAUUUAUUAAAAGAUCAAUUACUUUAAGUUUAUUUAAAUUAGUUAUUUUCGGAUUUCUAACAUAGAAUAAAUGUAAUUGAUUUAAUAAAUCAUUGACAGAUUUAAUUGUAUAUUGUGCUUAAAUUUUUCGGAAUUUUACAAUGAUGAAUAAAUCUAUUGAUUUAAUCAUUUAUAUUGUAUGCGCUUUUAUGAUUAACAAUGCGAUAGAUUCAGGAUACCUUCGGGACCCGUCUUGAAACACGGACCAAGGAGUCUAACAUAUGUGCAAGUCAUUGGGUAUUUUUAAUAAAACCCAAUGGCAUAAUUAACUUAACUGUUUUAAAUGGGAUUAGUUUAUAUUUUAUUAUGAAAUAUUAAUUCAAUCCCGGGGCGUUCUAUACAGUUAUGCAUAAUAAUAUUUAUAUUAUUUAUGCCUCUAACUAGAGCGUACCUUGAGCAUAUAUGCUGUGACCCGAAAGUGG